RNAcentral lists this ribosomal RNA (253 nucleotides) under uncultured bacterium. RNAcentral describes it as "partial 16S ribosomal RNA". It matches the Rfam family "Bacterial small subunit ribosomal RNA", at positions 524 to 776 of the family's 1533-position model. The record is from RNAcentral.
UACAGAGGUCUCAAGCGUUGUUCGGAUUCAUUGGGCGUAAAGGGUGCGUAGGUGGCGCCGUAAGUCGGGUGUGAAAUUUCGGAGCUUAACUCCGAAGCUGCAUUCGAUACUGCGGUGCUUGAGGACUGGAGAGGAGACUGGAAUUCAUGGUGUAGCAGUGAAAUGCGUAGAGAUCAUGAGGAAGACCAGUGGCGAAGGCAGCUCGCUGGGACGGUACUGACGCUAAGGCGCGAAAGCGUGGGGAGCGAACAGG